GUGAGGAAUAUUGGUCAAUGGGCGUAAGCCUGAACCAGCCAAGUAGCGUGCAGGAUGACUGCCCUAUGGGUUGUAAACUGCUUUUAUGCGGGAAUAAAGUGGCGUACGUGUACGCUUUUGUAUGUACCGCAUGAAUAAGGACCGGCUAAUUCCGUGCCAGCAGCCGCGGUAAUACGGAAGGUCCGGGCGUUAUCCGGAUUUAUUGGGUUUAAAGGGAGCGCAGGCGGAAGAUUAAGCGUGACGUGAAAUGUCCCGGCUCAACCGUGGAACUGCGUCGCGAACUGGUUUUCUUGAGUGAGUGCGACGUCGGCGGAAUUCGUGGUGUAGCGGUGAAAUGCUUAGAUAUCACGAAGAACCCCGAUUGCGAAGGCAGCCGACGAGUCCUUAACUGACGCUAAAGCUCGAAAGUGCGGGUAUCGAACAGG
Molecule: ribosomal RNA, 425 nt
Filed under: uncultured rumen bacterium
Lineage: Bacteria
Description: bacterial SSU rRNA
Rfam family: Bacterial small subunit ribosomal RNA
Source: RNAcentral